This 45-nucleotide non-coding RNA is filed under the name Schistosoma margrebowiei. Lineage: Eukaryota; Metazoa; Platyhelminthes; Trematoda; Strigeidida; Schistosomatidae. The record is from RNAcentral.
AUUCAGCUGAUGAGUCCCAAAUAAGAUGAAACGCAUGUCCUAAGU